UCAUGUCCCGCGGGAGAGACCGGCAGCUUCGCCGGCGCCGAAGGCGCAACAUCGCCCGGAAUCGCUCAGGCAAAAGGACUGCGGGAACGAG
Molecule: non-coding RNA, 91 nt
Filed under: Marichromatium purpuratum
Lineage: Bacteria; Pseudomonadati; Pseudomonadota; Gammaproteobacteria; Chromatiales; Chromatiaceae
Also listed under: 1 other name
Description: Glycine sequence
Rfam family: Glycine riboswitch aptamer
About the family: This family represents the bacterial glycine riboswitch. Glycine riboswitches usually consist of two metabolite-binding aptamers domains with similar structures in tandem. The aptamers cooperatively bind glycine to regulate the expression of downstream genes.
Source: RNAcentral